RNAcentral lists this long non-coding RNA (221 nucleotides) under Setaria italica (foxtail millet). RNAcentral's name for it is "long non-coding RNA (SITA_LNC006397)". The record is from RNAcentral. Lineage: Eukaryota; Viridiplantae; Streptophyta; Magnoliopsida; Poales; Poaceae.
UGGACUACGACGUGACAGGUGACACGACGAGCAGGUCCAGGUCAACCCCCCGCCGACGGGGCGGGGGGGUUGACCGUGCGACGCGACGCGAGGCAGCAGCUCUCCGUUCCGUUCCGUUCCCGCCGAGCCGAGGGCCGCUGGCCAACGACCGACAGGAUCGCGUGAUUCCGGUGGCGCGCCGCGAAAUCUCGUCGCGCACGGCCCCAUUUUUAUGCCCGCGC